GGAUGCUGCGCUUGGUCUUGAUGGUGGCGAUGGCAGCAUUGACACCUUUAGGAACCACGUCACCACGGUACAACAGGCAGGCUCGGCGGGCAUCCCCCUCCUACCUUACCACUCCAUGUGUGUCCCUCCUGAAGCUGCGAGUUCGGUGGAAGAGGACGACCAUCCUUGAUAGAUGAGGACUGGUCUUUGGUCAAGGGUAUACAAAUCCCCCACUGGAACCUCCAAACAAGCUCUCAAGAGUAAAGAAAAAUUAUAUCGUUUAGAAUUCACAUCUAUAUAAAGAAUAGCAUUAGAGAAGGAAUAAAGGCAAAAUAUAAUUCUUUUAUUU
Molecule: small nuclear RNA, 328 nt
Filed under: Callithrix jacchus (white-tufted-ear marmoset)
Lineage: Eukaryota; Metazoa; Chordata; Mammalia; Primates; Cebidae
Description: 7SK RNA
Rfam family: 7SK RNA
About the family: 7SK was discovered as an abundant small nuclear RNA in the mid-70s but a possible function has only recently been suggested. Two independent studies have found that 7SK RNA binds the CDK9/cyclin T complex (known as elongation factor P-TEFb).
Source: Rfam by way of RNAcentral